CCUACGGGAGGCAGCAGUGAGGAAUAUUGGUCAAUGGGCGCGAGCCUGAACCAGCCAAGUAGCGUGAAGGAUGACUGCCCUACGGGUUGUAAACUUCUUUUAUAAAGGAAUAAAGUGAGGCACGUGUGCCUUUUUCUAUGUACUUUAUGAAUAAGGCACGGCUAACUCCGUGCCAGCAGCCGCGGUAAUACGGAGGAUCCGAGCGUUAUCCGGAUUUAUUGGGUUUAAAGGGAGCGUAGAUGGGUUGUUAAGUCAGUUGUGAAAGUUUGCGGCUCAACCGUAAAAUUGCAAUUGAUACUGGCGGUCUUGAGUACAGGUGAGGUAGGCGGAAUUCGUGGUGUAGCGGUGAAAUGCUUAGAUAUCACGAAGAACUCCGAUUGCGAAGGCAGCUUACUAAACUGCCACUGACGUUGAUGCUCGAAAGUGUGGGUAUCAAACAGGAUUAGAUACCCUUGUAGUC
Molecule: ribosomal RNA, 460 nt
Filed under: uncultured bacterium
Lineage: Bacteria
Description: partial 16S ribosomal RNA
Rfam family: Bacterial small subunit ribosomal RNA
Source: RNAcentral